GUUGUCGCUAGGCAGGCGUGCCAUAAUACAUGCAGUCGAGCGGAUGACAGAAGGAGCUUGCUCCUUUUGAUUCAGCGGCGGACGGGUGAGUAACACGUGGGCAACCUGCCCUGUAGAUUGGGAUAACUCCGGGAAACCGGGGCUAAUACCGAAUAAUCCUUCGGACCUCAUGGUCCGAUGUUGAAAGGCGGCUUCUGCUGUCACUACCGGGUGGGCCCCCGGCCGAUUAGCUAGGUGGUGAGGUAACCGCUCACCAAGGCCACCGUGCGUAGCCGACCUGAAAGGGUGAUCGGCCACACUGGGACUGAAAACGGCCCAGACUCCUACGGGAGGCAGCAGUAGGGAAUCUUCCACAAUGGACGAAAGUCUGAUGGAGCAACCGCCGCGUGAGGGGAGGAAGUUCUCGGACCGUAAAACUCUUGUGUGAGGGAAGGAACAAGUACCGGAGUAACUGCCGGUACCUUGACGGUACCUCAUUAGGAAGAGCCACGCUUAACUACCGUGCCAGCAGCCGGUAAAUUA
RNAcentral lists this ribosomal RNA (522 nucleotides) under Psychrobacillus psychrotolerans. RNAcentral describes it as "bacterial SSU rRNA". It matches the Rfam family "Bacterial small subunit ribosomal RNA", at positions 38 to 525 of the family's 1533-position model. The record is from RNAcentral. Lineage: Bacteria; Bacillati; Bacillota; Bacilli; Caryophanales; Bacillaceae.